RNAcentral lists this ribosomal RNA (429 nucleotides) under Bacteroidota bacterium. Its description in RNAcentral is "Bacteroidetes bacterium partial 16S ribosomal RNA". It matches the Rfam family "Bacterial small subunit ribosomal RNA", at positions 355 to 776 of the family's 1533-position model. Lineage: Bacteria; Pseudomonadati; Bacteroidota. The record is from RNAcentral.
UAGGGAAUCUUCCGCAAUGGGCGAAAGCCUGACGGAGCAACGCCGCGUGAGUGAUGAAGGUCUUCGGAUCGUAAAACUCUGUUAUAAGGGAAGAACAAAUGUGGAAGUAACUAUGCACGUCUUGACGGUACCUAAUCAGAAAGCCACGGCUAAUUACGUGCCAGCAGCCGCGGUAAUACGUAGGUGGCAAGCGUUAUCCGGAAUUAUUAGGCGUAAAGCGUGCGUAGGCGGUUUUUUAAGUCUGAUGUGAAAGGCCACGGCCCAACCGUGGAGGGUCAUUGGAAACUGGAAAACUUGAGUGCAGAAGAGGAAAGUGGAAUUCCAUGUGUAGCGGUGAAAUGCGCAUAGAUAUGAAGGAACAACAGAGGCGAAGGCGACUUUCUGGUCUGUACCUGACGCUGAUGUGCGAAAGCGUGGGAAUCAAACAGG